RNAcentral lists this ribosomal RNA (200 nucleotides) under uncultured organism. Its description in RNAcentral is "partial small subunit ribosomal RNA". It matches the Rfam family "Bacterial small subunit ribosomal RNA", at positions 1184 to 1382 of the family's 1533-position model. The record is from RNAcentral.
GUCAAAUCAUCAUGCCCCUUAUGACCUGGGCUACACACGUGCUACAAUGGCCGUUACAAAGGGCAGCGAAGGGGCGACCCGGAGCCAAUCCCGGCAAAGGCGGUCUCAGUUCGGAUUGCAGGCUGCAACUCGCCUGCAUGAAGUCGGAAUUGCUAGUAAUCGCGGAUCAGCAUGCCGCGGUGAAUACGUUCCCGGGUCUU